UAAAAAUAGGAUAAACUUCAAAUACACCCCUGUGAUUUCACACUUUCUCACUUUAGUAAUAUGUAGUUUAAAGUGUAUCAAGUUAACUCAUGUAGUUUCACACUUUCUCACCGUGGUUUAAAGUGUAUCAAGUUAAUACAUUGUGGUUCUAUUUUUCCCUUUUCAUUAUUCAUGUCACAAAUUUUUUUCAUUAAAUCAAUGAUAAAAUUAAAAUUAAAGAGUACUAAAGUAAAUAUUCGAUAAACCUAGAUAGGAUAUCUGAAGUUUUUUUUGUAUAUAAUUUAAUAAAAUAUUAAAGGAGAAAAAACAAUCGGUGACAAAAUUAAUAUUAAAAAGUACUAAAGUAAAUAUUUGAUAAACCUAGAUAGGAUAUCUGAAGUUGUUUGUAUAUAAUUUAAUAAAAUAUUAACAGAGGAGUCAACGAAAAGAGAAAAAUGAAACCACAAGGUACUAAAUUGAUGCACUUUAAAUCACAUAAUGCUAAAGUGAGAAAGUGCGAAAUCACCUUGUACUUAAUUGAUACACUUUAAACCAUAGAGUACUAAAGUGAAAAAUUGUGAAACUACAUGGUGAUAUUUAAAGUUUUCCCAUAAAAAUAUUACAGAAAUAGUGA
RNAcentral lists this long non-coding RNA (613 nucleotides) under Ananas comosus (pineapple). RNAcentral describes it as "long non-coding RNA (ACOM_LNC024777)". Lineage: Eukaryota; Viridiplantae; Streptophyta; Magnoliopsida; Poales; Bromeliaceae. The record is from RNAcentral.